RNAcentral lists this non-coding RNA (48 nucleotides) under Schistosoma mansoni. Lineage: Eukaryota; Metazoa; Platyhelminthes; Trematoda; Strigeidida; Schistosomatidae. The record is from RNAcentral.
AUCCAGCUGACGAGUCCCAAUUAGGACGAAACACGCGUCAAACUGGAU